Molecule: ribosomal RNA, 359 nt
Filed under: uncultured bacterium
Lineage: Bacteria
Description: bacterial SSU rRNA
Rfam family: Bacterial small subunit ribosomal RNA
Source: RNAcentral
UGAGGAAUCUUGCGCAAUGGGGGAAACCCUGACGCAGCAACGCCGCGUGAGUGAGGAAGGUAUUCGGGUCGUAAAGCUCUGUCAGGCGGGAAGAAAUGCAUGGAGGUGAACAGCCGCCAUGCUUGACGGUACCGCCAGAGGAAGCACCGGCUAACUCCGUGCCAGCAGCCGCGGUAAUAAGGGGGGUGCAAGCGUUGUUCGGAAUCAUUGGGAGAAAAGAGCGUGUAGGCAGCUUGGUAAGUCAGAUGUGAAAACCCUGGGCUCAAACCGAGAAUUGCAUUUGAAACUGCCGGGCACGAGUAAGAGAGAGGGAAGGGGAAUAACUGGAGUAGAGGGGAAAAGCGUAGAUAUGAGGAGGA